UACGUAGGGUGCGAGCGUUGUCCGGAAUUAUUGGGCGUAAAGCGCUUGUAGGCGGUUUGUCGCGUCUGCUGUGAAAAUCCGGGGCUCAACCCCGGACUUGCAGUGGGUACGGGCAGACUAGAGUGUGGUAGGGGAGACUGGAAUUCCUGGUGUAGCGGUGGAAUGCGCAGAUAUCAGGAGGAACACCUAUGGCGAAGGCAGCUCGCUGGGACGGUACUGACGCUGAGGCGCGAAAGCGUGGGGAGCGAACAGG
This 253-nucleotide ribosomal RNA is filed under the name uncultured bacterium. RNAcentral describes it as "partial 16S ribosomal RNA". It matches the Rfam family "Bacterial small subunit ribosomal RNA", at positions 524 to 776 of the family's 1533-position model. The record is from RNAcentral.